UUCAUUACCGAGUUUACAACUCCCAAACCCCUGUGAACAUACCAAUUGUGCCUCGGCGGAUCAGCCCGCUCCCGGUAAAAACGGGACGGCCCGCCAGAGGACCCCUAAACUCUGUUUCUAUAUGUAACUUCUGAGUAAAACCAUAAAUAAAUCAAAACUUUCAACAACGGAUCUCUUGGUUCUGGCAUCGAUGAAGAACGCAGCAAAAUGCGAUAAGUAAUGUGAAUUGCAGAAUUCAGUGAAUCAUCGAAUCUUUGAACGCACAUUGCGCCCGCCAGUAUUCUGGCGGGCAUGCCUGUUCGAGCGUCAUUUCAACCCUCAAGCCCCCGGGUUUGGUGUUGGGGAUCGGCGAGCCCUUGCGGCAAGCCGGCCCCGAAAUCUAGUGGCGGUCUCGCUGCAGCUUCCAUUGCGUAGUAGUAAAACCCUCGCAACUGGUACGCGGCGCGGCCAAGCCGUUAAACCCCCAACUUCUGAAUGUUGACCUCGGAUCAGGUAGGAAUACCCGCUGAACUUAAGCAUAU
Molecule: ribosomal RNA, 521 nt
Filed under: Fusarium incarnatum
Lineage: Eukaryota; Fungi; Ascomycota; Sordariomycetes; Hypocreales; Nectriaceae
Description: partial 18S ribosomal RNA
Rfam family: 5.8S ribosomal RNA (bases 156-309)
Source: RNAcentral